ACUUAUGUGGCCUAAGUGGUUAAAGCGUCCGCAUCGAAUGCGGCAGAUCGCAAGUUCGAACCCUGGCAGCGUCAUAAGAA
Molecule: non-coding RNA, 80 nt
Organism: Potamilus streckersoni
Lineage: Eukaryota; Metazoa; Mollusca; Bivalvia; Unionida; Unionidae
Source: the annotation of a GenBank genome assembly